This 497-nucleotide ribosomal RNA is filed under the name uncultured bacterium. Its description in RNAcentral is "partial 16S ribosomal RNA". It matches the Rfam family "Bacterial small subunit ribosomal RNA", at positions 28 to 507 of the family's 1533-position model. The record is from RNAcentral.
GACGAACGCUGGCGGCGUGCCUAAUACAUGCAAGUUGAGCGCUGAAGGUUGGUACUUGUACCAACUGGAUGAGCAGCGAACGGGUGAGUAACGCGUGGGGAAUCUGCCUUUGAGCGGGGGACAACAUUUGGAAACGAAUGCUAAUACCGCAUAAAAACUUUAAACACAAGUUUUAAGUUUGAAAGAUGCAAUUGCAUCACUCAAAGAUGAUCCCGCGUUGUAUUAGCUAGUUGGUGAGGUAAAGGCUCACCAAGGCGAUGAUACAUAGCCGACCUGAGAAGGUGAUCGGCCACAUUGGGACUGAGACACGGCCCAAACUCCUACGGGAGGCAGCAGUAGGGAAUCUUCGGCAAUGGACGAAAGUCUGACCGAGCAACGCCGCGUGAGUGAAGAAGGGUUUCGGAUCGUAAAACUCUGUUGGUAGAGAAGAACGUUGGUGAGAGUGGAAAGCUCAUCAAGUGACGGUAACUACCCAGAAAGGGACGGCUAACUACGUG